Molecule: transfer RNA, 73 nt
Filed under: Cordylochernes scorpioides
Lineage: Eukaryota; Metazoa; Arthropoda; Arachnida; Pseudoscorpiones; Chernetidae
Description: tRNA-Gly
Source: RNAcentral
UGCAUCGGCCGGGAAUCGAACCCAGGCCGCCCGCGUGGCAGGCGAGCAUUCUACCACUGAACCUCCCCGAUGC